AUAUCAGUAAGCGGAGGAAAAGAAACUAACAAGGAUUCCCCUAGUAACGGCGAGUGAAGCGGGAAAAGCUCAAAUUUAAAAUCUGGUGUGCCUUUGGUCACCCGAGUUGUAGUCUAGAGAGGCGUUUUCUGUGCUGGACCGUGUAAAAGUCUCUUGGAACAGAGCAUCAUAGAGGGUGAGAAUCCCGUCUUUGACAUGGACUACCAGUGCUAUGUGUUGCGUCUUCAACGAGUCGAGUUGUUUGGGAAUGCAGCUCAAAAUGGGUGGUAAAUUCCAUCUAAAGCUAAAUAUUGGCGAGAGACCGAUAGCGAACAAGUACCGUGAGGGAAAGAUGAAAAGCACUUUGGAAAGAGAGUUAAACAGUAC
This 366-nucleotide ribosomal RNA is filed under the name uncultured fungus. RNAcentral describes it as "eukaryotic LSU rRNA". It matches the Rfam family "Eukaryotic large subunit ribosomal RNA", at positions 40 to 398 of the family's 3401-position model. Lineage: Eukaryota; Fungi. The record is from RNAcentral.